AUAUCAAUAAGCGGAGGAAAAGAAACCAACAGGGAUUGCCCUAGUAACGGCGAGUGAAGCGGCAACAGCUCAAAUUUGAAAUCUGGCCCUCGUGGUCCGAGUUGUAAUUUGUAGAGGAUGCUUUUGGUUAGGUGCCUUCCGAGUUCCCUGGAACGGGACGCCAUAGAGGGUGAGAGCCCCGUCUGGUUGGACACCGAGCCUCUGUAAAGCUCCUUCGACGAGUCGAGUAGUUUGGGAAUGCUGCUCUAAAUGGGAGGUAUAUGUCUUCUAAAGCUAAAUAUUGGCCAGAGACCGAUAGCGCACAAGUAGAGUGAUCGAAAGAUGAAAAGCACUUUGAAAAGAGGGUUAAAAAGUACGUGAAAUUGUUGAAAGGGAAGCGCUUGUGACCAGACUUGGGCCCGGUCAAUCAUCCAGGGUUCUCCCUGGUGCACUUGGCCGGCCCAGGCCAGCAUCAGUUUGUCGCGGGGGAUAAAGACGUUGGGAAUGUGGCUCCUCCGGGAGUGUUAUAGCCCUUCGUGUAAUACCCUGCUUCGGACUGAGGUUCGCGCAUCUGCAAGGAUGCUGGCGUAAUGGUCAUCAGCGACCCGUCUUGAAACACGGACCAAGGAGUCGUCUUCGUAUGCGAGUGUUCGGGUGUCAAACCCCUACGCGUAAUGAAAGUGAACGCAGGUGAGAGCUUCGGCGCAUCAUCGACCGAUCCUGAUGUUCUCGGAUGGAUUUGAGUAAGAGCAUACGGGGCCGGACCCGAAAGAAGGUGAACUAUGCCUGUAUAGGGUGAAGCCAGAGGAAACUCUGGUGGAGGCUCGCAGCGGUUCUGACGUGCAAAUCGAUCGUCAAAUAUGGGCAUGGGGGCGAAAGACUAAUCGAACCUUCUAGUAGCUGGUUUCCGC
RNAcentral lists this ribosomal RNA (890 nucleotides) under Nectria pseudotrichia. RNAcentral describes it as "partial large subunit ribosomal RNA". It matches the Rfam family "Eukaryotic large subunit ribosomal RNA", at positions 40 to 961 of the family's 3401-position model. The record is from RNAcentral. Lineage: Eukaryota; Fungi; Ascomycota; Sordariomycetes; Hypocreales; Nectriaceae.